GACGAACGCUGGCGGCGUGCCUAAUACAUGCAAGUUGAGCGCUGAAGGUUGGUACUUGUACCGAUUGGAUGAGCAGCGAACGGGUGAGUAACGCGUGGGGAAUCUGCCUUUGAGCGGGGGACAACCUUUGGAAACGAAUGCUAAUACCGCCUAAAAACUUUAAACACAAGUUUUAAGUUUGACAGAUGCAAUUGCAUCACUCAAAGAUGAUCCCGCGUUGUAUUAGCUAGUUGGUGAGGUAAAGGCUCACCAAGGCCAUGAUACAUAGCCGACCUGAGAGGGUGAACGGCCACAUUGGGACUGGGACACGGCCCAAACUCCUACGGGAGGCAGCAGUAGGGAAUCUUCGGACAUGGACGAAAGUCUGACCGAGGAACGCCGCGUGAGUGAAGAAGGGUUUCGGAUCGUAAAACUCUGUUGGUAGAGAAGAAAGGUGGUGAGGGUGGAAAGCUCAUCAAGUGACGGUAACUACCCAGAAAGGGACGGCUAACUACGUG
RNAcentral lists this ribosomal RNA (497 nucleotides) under uncultured bacterium. RNAcentral describes it as "partial 16S ribosomal RNA". It matches the Rfam family "Bacterial small subunit ribosomal RNA", at positions 28 to 507 of the family's 1533-position model. The record is from RNAcentral.